UGGCGGACGGGUGAGUAACGCGUGGGUAACCUGCCCUGUACAGGGGGACAACAGUUAGAAAUGACUGCUAAUACCGCAUAAGCGCACAGGACCGCAUGGUCCGGUGUGAAAAACUCCGGUGGUACAGGAUGGACCUGCGUCUGAUUAGGUAGUUGGCGGGGUAACGGCCCACCAAGCCGACGAUCAGUAGCCGACCUGAGAGGGUGACCGGCCACAUUGGGACUGAGACACGGCCCAAACUCCUACGGAAGGCAGCAG
RNAcentral lists this ribosomal RNA (258 nucleotides) under uncultured bacterium. Its description in RNAcentral is "partial 16S ribosomal RNA". It matches the Rfam family "Bacterial small subunit ribosomal RNA", at positions 96 to 354 of the family's 1533-position model. The record is from RNAcentral.